AUUGAACGCUGGCGGCAGGCUUAACACAUGCAAGUCGAGCGGAGAUGAGGUGCUUGCACCUUAUCUUAGCGGCGGACGGGUGAGUAAUGCUUAGGAAUCUGCCUAUUAGUGGGGGACAACAUUCCGAAAGGAAUGCUAAUACCGCAUACGUCCUACGGGAGAAAGCAGGGGAUCUUCGGACCUUGCGCUAAUAGAUGAGCCUAAGUCGGAUUAGCUAGUUGGUGGGGUAAAGGCCUACCAAGGCGACGAUCUGUAGCGGGUCUGAGAGGAUGAUCCGCCACACUGGGACUGAAGCACGGCCCAGACUCCUACGGGGGGAAGCAGUGGGGAAUAUUGGACAAUGGGGGGAACCCUGAUCCAGCCAUGCCGCGUGUGUGAAGAAGGCCUUAUGGUUGUAAAGCACUUUAAGCGAGGAGGAGGCUACUGAGACUAAUACUCUUGGAUAGUGGACGUUACUCGCAGAAUAAGCACCGGCUAACUCUGUGCCAGCCGCCGCCGUAA
RNAcentral lists this ribosomal RNA (501 nucleotides) under uncultured bacterium. Its description in RNAcentral is "partial 16S ribosomal RNA". It matches the Rfam family "Bacterial small subunit ribosomal RNA", at positions 30 to 523 of the family's 1533-position model. The record is from RNAcentral.